Molecule: ribosomal RNA, 404 nt
Filed under: uncultured bacterium
Lineage: Bacteria
Description: partial 16S ribosomal RNA
Rfam family: Bacterial small subunit ribosomal RNA
Source: RNAcentral
AUUGAACGCUGGCGGCAGGCCUAACACAUGCAAGUCGAGCGAGCUGCGGACGGGUGAGUAAUGCCUGGGAAUUGCCCAGUAGGGGGGUAUACACUUUGGAAACGACUGCUAAUACCGCAUACGAGUGGGUUACCCAGGUGGGAUUAGCUAGUUGGUGAUGUAAUGGCUCACCAAGGCGACGAUCCCUAGCUGGUCUGAGAGGAUGAUCAGCCACACUGGAACUGAGACACGGUCCAGACUCCUACGGGAGGCAGCAGUGGGGAAUAUUGCACAAUGGGGGAAACCCUGAUGCAGCCAUGCCGCGUGUGUGAAGAAGGCCUUCGGGUUGUAAAGCACUUUCAGCGAGGAGGCGUUACUCGCAGAAGAAGCACCGGCUAACUCCGUGCCAGCAGCCGCGGUAAUAC